GCGUUGGUGGCCUAGUGGUUAAGGCAUUUGGCUCCUAACCAAAAGGUCGGUGGUUCAAAUCCACCAGCUGCUCCA
Molecule: non-coding RNA, 75 nt
Organism: Orycteropus afer afer
Lineage: Eukaryota; Metazoa; Chordata; Mammalia; Tubulidentata; Orycteropodidae
Source: the annotation of a RefSeq genome assembly